This 254-nucleotide ribosomal RNA is filed under the name uncultured bacterium. RNAcentral's name for it is "partial 16S ribosomal RNA". It matches the Rfam family "Bacterial small subunit ribosomal RNA", at positions 524 to 776 of the family's 1533-position model. The record is from RNAcentral.
UACAGAGACUGCAAGCGUUAUUCGGAUUUACUGGGCGUAAAGCGCGUGUAGGCGGCUGGUUAGGCGUGAUGUGAAAUCUUCCGGCUCAACCGGAAAACUGCAUUGCGAACCGGCCUGGCUAGAGUGCAGGAGAGGGAAGCGGAAUUCCAGGUGUAGCGGUGAAAUGCGUAGAUAUCUGGGGGAACACCAGUGGCGAAGGCGGCUUCCUGGCCUGCAACUGACGCUGAGACGCGAAAGCGUGGGGAGCGAACCGG